Molecule: ribosomal RNA, 465 nt
Filed under: uncultured bacterium
Lineage: Bacteria
Description: partial 16S ribosomal RNA
Rfam family: Bacterial small subunit ribosomal RNA
Source: RNAcentral
GACGAACGCUGGCGGCGUGCUUAACACAUGCAAGUCGAACGGAAAGGCCCUGCUUGCAGGGUACUCGAGUGGCGAACGGGUGAGUAACACGUGGGUUAUCUGCCCUGCACUUCGGGAUAAGCCUGGGAAACUGGGUCUAAUACCGGAUAGGAGCCAUUUUUAGUGUGAUGGUUGGAAAGUUUUUUCGGUGUAGGAUGAGCUCGCGGCCUAUCAGCUUGUUGGUGGGGUAAUGGCCUACCAAGGCGGCGACGGGUAGCCGGCCUGAGAGGGUGGACAGCCACAUUGGGACUGAGAUACGGCCCAGACUCCUACGGGAGGCAGCAGUGGGGAAUAUUGCGCAAUGGGCGCAAGCCUGAUGCAGCGACGCCGCGUGGGGGAUGACGGCCUUCGGGUUGUAAACUCCUUUCGCUAGGGACGAAGCUUUUUGUGACGGUACCUAGAUAAGAAGCACCGGCUAACUACGUG